Molecule: long non-coding RNA, 1796 nt
Filed under: Aedes aegypti (yellow fever mosquito)
Lineage: Eukaryota; Metazoa; Arthropoda; Insecta; Diptera; Culicidae
Description: lncRNA AAEL020720
Source: RNAcentral
UAUACUGACCACUAUACUAUCGAGGAAAUCAAAACACAUGAAGUCGUCGUUGAAUCACGUUACAAAAAAUAUUGAAUUAUUUUCCAUAUCUAUUAUUAUUUGUUUGCGAUGGCCUUAUUGACCUAACAGAAAGUGGCCAUUUUGUUCCAUUUGUUUCUUGUAAAUUUUCAUUCCGGCAUCUUUACGUAUCGUGGUUCAUCGUCGGACUUCUCAUCCGUCCAGAUACUUGUAAAUGUUGACCACUAACUCAUUCGGUCAACGUUCGUUUCUGCUGGACCAGAUCAAUGAAGAUAAUCUGCAAAGAAAUCCGAUUCCGUUCGAAUUUCUUUCUCGCAAACUCUGCAACAAAUCAAAUUGCAAAGUCUUGCAUCGAUGUUUUGAGGAUUAAUAGCAAAUCAAGUCUAAUAAUCUGUUCAUUUCUAUGUUGAAUUUACAGAACGAAUUCCAUCUAUCCCCGGAUCGUAGGAAAAGCCACAAUGAAAGGACACUAUCUCGAAGAACAGAACAAGUUACGGACGUGCUUCAUUGCUUCAAGUUUACGAAUCUGACGGACGUUGCCGAUCUCCAUCUCGCCAUACCGCUUGUCACGAUUUACUUCAAUUUACUUCACAAUUGUUGCUUCGGAUAGAAAUUUUCUUUCAGAAAAGUAUAUCUCGGGUAUUUGGUAUCGAACGGAGGAAGAUCGAGUGGAAAUCUUUUCAUCACGAAUAGGUCACUAACGACUUCAUUGUAGCAGUUGGCUCGAAAAGCAGGAUAACAAUAGAUUUCUUGAUGUGGACUUUCGAAGAGAUCGUUUUAUCUUGAGAUGUAUGAAACCAACUCAAAAGAGUUGAAAGAUUGUCUUCGGCAACAAAAUACCAAAUCAGAGAAACUUUCAUGAAGCAAACAAUGAGUCGAAUCGUUCAAAGUUGGAUUUCCAGGAGCAUUCUUCCAAUCCAAUCCGCCAAGCUACUUUUGUGUAGAUGAGCUGGAUUUUUCCAGUGGAUUCUCAACAUGGCUCCUCUACAACAAUUUUCAAGAAAGAUCUGAAUCAAUCGUUUUUCGGAUGAGGAUGAAACGGCAAUUCCUGAACCAUCACAAGAUUGCGCAGUCUUUUGGUCCAUUGGGGGAAUUCACGCUGAAACUACAGUGAGUUUCAGAUGAUGCUCUUUCGUUGAAUUCACAUGGACUCUGCAGUCGACAUCUUUGUCGGAGCAACUCGUUCUUACAGUGUGCAAACGUCAUCCUGAUUGUUGAUCCUGAAUUUCUUGCGGCAAUUUCCCGACAACAUUUCAGAUUUGAAGAUUACGGUGUGGGGGAAUUGAACCAGUCAAGAUGUCAUACAGAUUGAUCCUCAGAAUGCCGAUCACCAAAGAAAUGUUAUUCAGAAAUCGGUGAUUUCGAUGGUUUUCUAGUUGGUUUUUUACUGACUCCCUGUAGAGAACAAUGCUGAGAACGAUUUCUGAAAAGAUUUUCUCAUGCUGAUUUCGCCAUUGAUCGAUGAUUGCUCUGCUUCGUUGGGUUGUCGAUGAGUUGAACGAUUGAACACAGCACGCGAGUGGAACUGAUUCUUACAAUGAUUUGAUCGGCAAAAUUCCUUGAGGAAGUCCUAAAAACAAUCGGGAUUGCAUUUCAUCAACCAAUGAACAAUUUUUGAUGGCUGACCGCAUUGACGUUUGUUGAAUCUUUCAAGGUCAGGUAAGGAAUACUUGCGGAAUCGCACCGUUUUUGGACUCAACAACCUGUUCAAAAAUUAAAUUAAGUCUGCACUCACUUUACAAAUCAUUUGAAUAAAAAAAAAACAAUCGUAUUGUAAA